CCUACGGGGGGCUGCAGUGGGGAAUAUUGGACAAUGGGCGAAAGCCUGAUCCAGCCAUGCCGCGUGUGUGAAGAAGGCCUUCGGGUUGUAAAGCACUUUCAGUGGAGAAGAAAGCCUUGGGGCUAAUACCCUCGAGGAAGGACAUCACCCACAGAAGAAGCACCGGCUAACUCCGUGCCAGCAGCCGCGGUAAUACGGAGGGUGCGAGCGUUAAUCGGAAUUACUGGGCGUAAAGCGCGCGUAGGCGGUCUGAUAAGCCGGUUGUGAAAGCCCCGGGCUCAACCUGGGAACGGCAUCCGGAACUGUCAGGCUAGAGUGCAGGAGAGGAAGGUAGAAUUCCCGGUGUAGCGGUGAAAUGCGUAGAGAUCGGGAGGAAUACCAGUGGCGAAGGCGGUCUUCUGGACUGACACUGACGCUGAGGUGCGAAAGCGUGGGUAGCAAACAGGAUUAGAUACCCGAGUAGUC
Molecule: ribosomal RNA, 465 nt
Filed under: Vreelandella stevensii
Lineage: Bacteria; Pseudomonadati; Pseudomonadota; Gammaproteobacteria; Oceanospirillales; Halomonadaceae
Description: partial 16S ribosomal RNA
Rfam family: Bacterial small subunit ribosomal RNA
Source: RNAcentral